UGUAACGGGGCUAAACCAUGCACCGAAGCUGCGGCAGCGACGCUUAUGCGUUGUUGGGUAGGGGAGCGUUCUGUAAGCCUGUGAAGGUGUGUCGUGAGGCAUGCUGGAGGUAUCAGAAGUGCGAAUGCUGACAUAAGUAACGAUAAAGCGGGUGAAAAGCCCGCUCGCCGGAAGACCAAGGGUUCCUGUCCAACGUUAAUCGGGGCAGGGUGAGUCGACCCCUAAGGCGAGGCCGAAAGGCGUAGUCGAUGGGAAACGGGUUAAUAUUCCCGUACUUGGUGUUACUGCGAAGGGGGGACGGAGAAGGCUAUGUUGGCCGGGCGACGGUUGUCCCGGUUUAAGCGUGUAGGUGUGUGUUCCAGGUAAAUCCGGUUCACUUUAACACUGAGGCGUGAUGACGAGGCACUACGGUGCUGAAGUAACAAAUGCCCUGCUUCCAGGAAAAGCCUCUAAGCAUCAGGUAACAUCAAAUCGUACCCCAAACCGACACAGGUGGUCAGGUAGAGAAUACCAAGGCGCUUGAGAGAACUCGGGUGAAGGAACUAGGCAAAAUGGUGCCGUAACUUCGGGAGAAGGCACGCUGACACGUAGGUGAAGUGAUUUACUCACGGAGCUGAAGUCAGUCGAAGAUACCAGCUGGCUGCAACUGUUUAUUAAAAACACAGCACUGUGCAAACACGAAAGUGGACGUAUACGGUGUGACGCCUGCCCGGUGCCGGAAGGUUAAUUGAUGGGGUCAGCGCAAGCGAAGCUCCUGAUCGAAGCCCCGGUAAACGGCGGCCGUAACUAUAACGGUCCUAAGGUAGCGAAAUUCCUUGUCGGGUAAGUUCCGACCUGCACGAAUGGCGUAAUGAUGGCCAGGCUGUCUCCACCCGAGACUCAGUGAAAUUGAACUCGCUGUGAAGAUGCAGUGUACCCGCGGCAAGACGGAAAGACCCCGUGAACCUUUACUAUAGCUUGACACUGAACAUUGAGCCUUGAUGUGUAGGAUAGGUGGGAGGCUUUGAAGUGUGGACGCCAGUCUGCAUGGAGCCGACCUUGAAAUACCACCCUUUAAUGUUUGAUGUUCUAACGUGGACCCGUUACCCGGGUUGCGGACAGUGUCUGGUGGGUAGUUUGACUGGGGCGGUCUCCUCCUAAAGAGUAACGGAGGAGCACGAAGGUUGGCUAAUCCUGGUCGGACAUCAGGAGGUUAGUGCAAUGGCAUAAGCCAGCUUGACUGCGAGCGUGACGGCGCGAGCAGGUGCGAAAGCAGGUCAUAGUGAUCCGGUGGUUCUGAAUGGAAGGGCCAUCGCUCAACGGAUAAAAGGUACUCCGGGGAUAACAGGCUGAUACCGCCCAAGAGUUCAUAUCGACGGCGGUGUUUGGCACCUCGAUGUCGGCUCAUCACAUCCUGGGGCUGAAGUAGGUCCCAAGGGUAUGGCUGUUCGCCAUUUAAAGUGGUACGCGAGCUGGGUUUAGAACGUCGUGAGACAGUUCGGUCCCUAUCUGCCGUGGGCGCUGGAGAACUGAGGGGGGCUGCUCCUAGUACGAGAGGACCGGAGUGGACGCAUCACUGGUGUUCGGGUUGUCAUGCCAAUGGCACUGCCCGGUAGCUAAAUGCGGAAGAGAUAAGUGCUGAAAGCAUCUAAGCACGAAACUUGCCCCGAGAUGAGUUCUCCCUGAGACUUUAGGUCUCCUGAAGGAACGUUGAAGACGACGACGUUGAUAGGCCGGGUGUGUAAGCGCAGCGAUGCGUUGAGCUAACCGGUACUAAUGAACCGUGAGGCUUAACCUU
This 1777-nucleotide ribosomal RNA is filed under the name Salmonella enterica. Its description in RNAcentral is "partial 23S ribosomal RNA". It matches the Rfam family "Bacterial large subunit ribosomal RNA", at positions 1171 to 2925 of the family's 2925-position model. Lineage: Bacteria; Pseudomonadati; Pseudomonadota; Gammaproteobacteria; Enterobacterales; Enterobacteriaceae. The record is from RNAcentral.